Molecule: long non-coding RNA, 238 nt
Filed under: Ananas comosus (pineapple)
Lineage: Eukaryota; Viridiplantae; Streptophyta; Magnoliopsida; Poales; Bromeliaceae
Description: long non-coding RNA (ACOM_LNC030428)
Source: RNAcentral
AGAAAUGUGAUAAUUGUAAGAACAAUGUUGUAAUAAGUAUGUUAAGAACUAGAUUGUAUAAUUGGAAGUUGAGGAUCAAUGUAAAAGAAUGUAAUGUGGAAUGUAAAAUGUAAUAUCUGAGGUGAAUGCUUGUAAUAGCAAGUAGAUUUAUGUUUUUGAUACUUCCUUAUGCAAUCUUUGGUUGAAAUGUGUUCCUGGUUGGAACUUCAUACAUUGUAUUGAUUGCGACGCCUUGAAC